This 352-nucleotide ribosomal RNA is filed under the name uncultured bacterium. RNAcentral's name for it is "partial 16S ribosomal RNA". It matches the Rfam family "Bacterial small subunit ribosomal RNA", at positions 338 to 688 of the family's 1533-position model. The record is from RNAcentral.
CCUACGGGUGGCAGCAGUGAGGAAUAUUGGUCAAUGGCCGGGAGGCUGAACCAGCCAAGUCGCGUGAGGGAAGACGGCCCUACGGGUUGUAAACCUCUUUUGUCAGGGAGCAAGGUGCAGGUCGGGACCUGCUGUGAGAGUACCUGAAGAAAAAGCAUCGGCUAACUCCGUGCCAGCAGCCGCGGUAAUACGGAGGAUGAGAGCGUUAUCCGGAUUUAUUGGGUUAAAAGGGUGCGCAGGCGGAGGCACAAGUCAGCGGUAAAAUGGCGGGGCGAAACCCCGCUCCGCCGUGGAACCGGUGUCCCUGGAGUGCGCGAAGGGUAGGCGGAAUGCGUGGUGUAGCGGUGAAAGG